UGUUUCACUCAAUAAACGAGUGAGGAAAAAAAGAAAUUCAAGCAACAGACUUUGUGUGCAGGUUACACAAGUUUGCGUCAAUGUUUGUGAUGAAAAGAAAAAUACUUUGGCAGAAAUCUUUGUUCCUGGAUACCUCAUAGUUUCUUGGAUGCAUGUAAGAUAUGUCUCACAGAAUCAUGGACCCAGGAGCAAAGAGAUGUUAACAACCUUGUGUAAAUUGGGUUUGAAAAGGUUUCUGGCAUGGAAGAAACCAGUCAUUAAUACUGGACUGAGUCCCUCCAGAAAACCCCUAUAGACCCCUUAACCAAAAAAAAGCAACAAAAAAAUAAAGUAAAACAAAAUGGUGCAAAAUGUAUCGACUCAAACAGUUAGAAAAUAUUUAUAGCCAAUUUGGACCUCUUGUUGCCUGUGAAUUGUAAAUUCCUAAAUUUAUGAGAAAAAUGCAAACAAAGUAUGUUGCAGCAGAAGUGUAGAUGUGCGUCAUCACUAAACGGUUUAGAAAUACGGUGUGACUUACUAGUGUGCUUUAUAUUUGUGCACAGAGGAAUAGGACAUGUUUGUGUCGGUAGAGCUUUGGGCAUAGCUUGGAGAAUUCUUCGGCUGAAGUAACUGUUAUACAGACGAAUGACAAGUCAUCGGGUGGGAGGGGUGAUGAUGUAUUUAUUGUGGCAUUUCCUUGGCCGCAUCUGUCAGAAAAGAAAUUUUUAUCUAUUUUUAAAGUUUUUCUAAAUUUGUAAGUGAGAAUGUAGUCGGUAGGAAAAGAAAAGUCCCCCCACUCUUGUCCUGAUGGUUUGUCAGAAGACACAGUGCUAGUCGGCUAGGUAGGAUGCUUUGCUGUAUAGUGUGAGUGUGUACUGCUACUGCCUAGCAACUGUCUGACUAGCAUAUAGCAGCCUAGAUUUACCCAGGAAUCUGAGCUAGCUCCAUGGCAUCUUCAUUACAAAGUCUGUAUUAUAAGCUCCACACCAAUGAAGUACACACACUCAACAGACAUUUGGAUAGGCAUUUUUUUUUUCUAAGAAAGGGCCAGCAUUUAGGCCAACCAAUUUGUCCACAUUGGACAAUCAAAUACCAUUUAUUCCAGCAAAAUGUCACAAUUUGACUAGCCUCGGGAAAAAAUUGGUACAUUGUCAGUUGUCAUGCAAAAAGGACAACUCUUAAUUUUGCUGCUUUUAUUGUGUUGUCUGAAAACAAUGUGAAAGUGUGGUCAAAUUUUUGGGUCUCGCAUGCAAAAGCAAGAGAGUACUUCAAUGAUAGUAUUUUACAUCCACAUGUGGUUACCAAGGUGGCCAACUUUUGGGCAUAGUAAAGUUAACAUGGUAUACAAACCUGUUCCAUUCUCUAGAUACUGAGGUUACACUAUUUCACGAAAGCUAAAGCCAUGUACAUGUUAAUCGUAUGAUAGAAACUUUGUAUAUACAAUGAGCUAAUGUUCAGAGCCAACCUCUUGAAGCAAAAAAGCAUCAAAAUUCUAUGUGUUUCUGUACCUACCAAUGAGGUAUGGUAGGAGUUGAGGUUUUCAAACUUUGCAGCAUGGCAAGUAAUGUAACUUGUAAGGAGAAAUAUAUUGGCUGUCACGUCAUGUAAAAUUGAUUUGGCAUGACUUUUCAAAAAUGUAUUUUGACUGGUAAUGAUAUGUAUUUCUGAGUUGCUGGCAAAAGUUUGGAAUUGGAGUUUGAAAAUAAACAUGUAUCAAUUAUUCAAAGUAAACAUGUAUCAAUUAUCAAAAACAGGCACCUACAUAACCAGUAAUGUUUCUGGAUGCAUGGAGGAUUGUUGUUUUUAGAUUGCUGAAUACUGAAUACUUGGCAACAUUGUGUGCUUCCAGUCAAGCUCUGGUUGUACACACCAUGUAUUUUCCAGACACAAAAUUGUUUCCUGUAUAACUCACAACAGUCUUAAUUUUCAGGACAAAUAUACUAGUAUACUAGAGGAAAACAUAUUGUAAACAAAGCUAGAAAUAAUCUAAAUGGAAAAAAGUACCAUAUUCUUAAUAAUGUGUGAGUCUUCAUAUUGACACAGGGUGUUGAAUAGAACUUGUUUGCUGUUAAUCUAAGUUGAGCACAUAUUUAUUGGUAUGAAUUCAUAUUAAGGUGAUGUUUAGGAGGGUCCUA
Long non-coding RNA from Branchiostoma belcheri (Belcher's lancelet), 2114 nucleotides. RefSeq lists it as uncharacterized. The record is from RefSeq and is a predicted model, not a curated record. The transcript is spliced from 2 exons. Lineage: Eukaryota; Metazoa; Chordata; Leptocardii; Amphioxiformes; Branchiostomatidae.